UUCUACCUGUACCCCAUCCUCGGCGCCGGCCACCGUCCAGAAGCUGGGGACGUUCUGUACACCUCGCCGGCCGACGGACCGGAGCUCCGAAUCAUCAACCUGCAACUUACCGGUCCAGACAACUACAAUGCGUGGGCUCGAGAUUUCCGGCGGGCUCUUGUGACCAAGGACAAAGAUGGGUUCCUCGAUGGAACUGUGCCCGUUCCCGACGACGACCGUAUGCGGCGACGAUGUUGGCGGAGGUGUAAUCAGCUCGUGCGCACCUGAAUCGGGAACUGCGAGGCCGCUGAUAUCAUCGCCGCCGGCCCUCCACCGACUGAAGAUUCGAAACAAAUGUGGGACGACAUCAAAGAAAUGUAUGGGAAGUUGGACAGAGCGAAGUUAUUUUCGCUCGCUCAAGCUCUGUCGGAUCUGAAGCAAGGGAACCCAUCGGUUACCGCUUGCUUCAACCGACUCUCCUCUCUCUGGAAUGAGCUCGGGGCUGCUGAGGUUGAGCUCAAAGGACCCGAAGAGACUCUCGAGCAGUACAGACUGAUUAGAGAGGGGGAGAAGGUUACCCGUUUUCUGUUGAUUCUGAAUGAAGGCUUCUCAAGGACAUCGAAUAUGACAGAUUGAUAUGCCUUGUAUACAACUCAAUUAAUUCAAAAGUCGAAGAAAUGUCAUGAUGGCUUCUUAAGUUGCUCGAGCAGUGGAUCUAUGACUAGGCAGGUCAAGCUCUCCAGUCUACAUCUCCUUCUGAUUUUUACCCUUAAAUAGUACCAGCUAUCUUGUUGCUGGAUUAAAUUUCAGCUCUUCUUUCCUUUAUUAGUUGGUUUUCCUCUUCAUGACGUAUACCUUUCCCAGCAGAUUAGUGAAAAAAUUUUGUCAGGAUAAUAAAUAUGGCUCAGAUGAUUGAAAACUUAUUUGGGUCUUUUACGAGGUUUUCUUGUAUGAUAUGAGCUGGAAACCUUUAGAUGGCAGGUUCCUGAACAAAGCUGAAAAAGAAGUAAGCCCUGGGGAGAUGAUGGAAUUUCCUGGUCAUUUGGUUGAACAUGGCAACCGUGAAGCAAACGAUGAAUCUUUGAGGGAUCUAAAUGCGUGUGGAAACAGUUUCAAUUCUCUUCAAAAAUUAAUAUGCAAGAGCAGCAGCAUAAUGUUACUAAUGUUAAAUCUGCUUUAAAGGGUACUUGGAAUACAGUUCAAUUUGAUCCAUUUCUUGGUGUUCUAUAUAGUGUUUAUUUUUCCUGUUUAGUCUUUAUAUGAAGGUAAUUUGCCUUACCUCCUAGCCUAAAGUCUUAAACUUCCAAUAGAUUAUCAACAUUUUUUACCUCAUUGUUUAUAUCCUAUGGACCCUAUCAUUUAGCUGCUCUGCAAUUGAUGUAAUCGGGUGAUACUCCAUACUCACCAAAAUGAUAUUGCAAACACAUUGUGAUUCGGAGCUUUAAAGACACAAGUCCAAGGGAUGUUCAUGAGACGUGGGAUGAUUUCCACAAGUCCUUGAACUUGCAGAUGCCAUGAAUCAAUUUGUUGUUUUUAUUUGAAGUUAAUACUUUCUUCAUUGACCAGAUAAAGAGAGUGGACAAUUGAAAAUCAUCAUUGUUAUCCAUGCUAUCUCUUUCUUUUCUGUUGAGGAGCAUGAUUCCCUUCUCUUCAUGUUUUGCAUGAUCUACAAUAAUUACCCGAUUGUGUUUGUGAUGCACUGAAACAUGUAUUCAUUAAUACUCUUUCAGAAGAAAAAAAAAAUGGCCAAGAUGCAUCAGAAUAGGGCAAAGGUGAGUAUAUUAGAUGCUGGAAAAUCAGGGGUAACAGGUCAGACUCUGUUUAGAUGCAUAUUCAGUUUGCCACUAGUGUUUACUAGUUGCCUUAUCUCUACGUUUGUUGCAUGUUCUAAUGCAAUCGUGAUCUCAAAAAAAUUUUGGUUGAUGAAAUCAAAGUUGCCUGUUAGGAGACUUUGUUGCACUUUUCAUAGGCAAGACAUUAUACUGCUUAACCAGAUGGAUUCUUAAAAUUCCUUACAUAUGACAGAAAUCACACUUUAGUUCAAAAAGAAAAAUUCAUAAUAGAUAAAAGCUUCACCAAUAAUAUAAAACUAUCUAUUGAGUUUUUGGCUUUGUGCUUCAGAGAAGGUCUAAGUGUGUCCAUUCAUUUGAAAAAUCCAUAAUUCACCUUGACUGGUUACGUUCCUGAGAAUUUCCUAGCUCUAGCACCGUGCUCUAGGUACUUAAGAAUGAGUCACAAGUACGAGAACCUCGUGCAAAAGAGGAGGGCAAUGAACCGAGUUACAUGGAAUCCUCAGGGUAUUCUUUUAUGCUUACAAUUUCUUGUGAAGUUUUCAUUACUUAGCCAGUUGUUCGUUCUACUUGCCAAUAGAUUUUCUAAUGAAGUUUACAUUAACUAGCCAACUACGUUCUUGUUAUAGCUGUGCAUUUACUGCCUCCUCUUAGCUUGAGGUUAUGGAAAUCACAAAAUCAAUAACAAGUUCAUUAUUAUUCUUCAGUCAUUUCCAACGCAAGUUCAAUCAAUCACGCAUGGGCAUACGAAUGUUCUUUUGCAGGUGUACUUCCAUUAUUCUUGUGUUAGUUUAACUGAGCAUAUCCUACAUGGAUAUUGACACUUCCAUGUCACGUAGAAUGGCAAGUUUUGUACACCACACAAAUAAACUCUAAAGGCCAGGAAAUACCAUGAUGGUUUUUUGCAGCAUGAAGUUCGCGGAUCCCUAGGGAGGCAGGUCAUUCCGAAGCACUUUCAAGGAUGUUACCAUCCUUUUGCCACUGUUCUUUAAUUAAACUAGGCUGGCUACUUUGUUUGCUGAUCCAACAUGAAUCACUUCUGUUUUUGGAAUAGUGGUUCAUUAUGUGACCCAACCAUCACAUUAAUUCAAGUGCAUUUCACUACCCAAAAAAGUUAUAAGGCCCUAAGCAACCCUUCUUUAUAGGUCCUGGAAUAACUUCUGCUCAUUAUUGUAUACCCUUGGAUCAUUCAGGUCCCACUGUAUGAUGCUAGCAGGAAAGUCUUGGCAAAUAAAUUUCUUAGGAAAGAUGAAGUGCUGGGAACCAGAAAAUCACUGGUAUUCAAUUCUCACUUAGUUGAUAUCAGGGAACAUGGAGUAGAAGAAAAGGUGCCGCUGGGUUUGAAUGAUCGGGAACCAUGUCGCGCUGCUGGAGAUAUGAGCAAAGGCCAUGGGGAGGUGAAUGGCAUUAAAGUUGAUCAAUCGUCCUGAUGUUAUAAUCCUACAUAAUGAGCUCCAGUCGAAAAACCUUCAAACUCGAGAAGCAAUGUUUUGAUGUAACUUGGAGGAUGACAAGAAUACGCUCUUUCUCCAAUGCCAUAGCAUGAAUAUGUACUCGAUGUUGUGAUGAGUUGUGGGAUUUCAUUCCAUUCAAGUGACGUCGAAUAAGAUGGGAUUCAUACUGAUGAGAUAUGUCGCAUUCAUAGAUGAUUAGUUCAUUGGAUAAAAUACUUUUCCAGAGGAAGAGUUGUGCUCAGUGACAAAGUCUGCAAACCUUUUGCCUUUUGAGAGACCUGGCAGACCUCUGUGGAAAAACUAUGAUGUGAUUUAACAAAACCCAUCUGCAGCAAUUAUUGAGGAGGAAAGGGAGGUGUAGAUUGUGGAGGCUGCAAACUCUAUCUCAUUCUCUACAUCACCAGUCCCCAGUUGUAAGUCGAUGAGGUGGCCCUUGAUGAUGUGCCUCAUGUUAUAGGAAACUACCAUAUUUGUGUGGUGAAGAGCAAGUGCCUUGACUCAGAUACUAUAGCUCGAGUGAAACAAUUGAAGUUUAAAUUGCAAUUUGGUGUCGGUCUGGACGGUGUCUGCCCCUGCUUGCUUGCGUAUGUCGGGCUGGGGGAGUUUAGUUUAUUUUGUCGGUAUAAUUACUAUGUUUUGUUAGAUCUUAAUUGAAUUUAGUACUCAACAUUUACAUCUUCAUGAAGGUGUUGAUGUGGACGCAGUCACCGAAAAUGGCAUAAAAGUUGCCAGCAUUCCAGAUGACAUCACGGGAAAUGCAGCAUCAUGUGCAGAGAUGUUGAUUCAUCGGAUGCUGGGUUUACUUUGAAAGCAAGUAUGUUUGAUUGCUAGAAAAAUCUUAAGUAGCUGGGGUACUUCAUUUGAUUCAUUCUUACAUGCUAAGUCCACGGGUUUGUCGUGCUUCUUUCUAUUCAGUCGUAGGGA
Long non-coding RNA from Eucalyptus grandis, 4147 nucleotides. RefSeq lists it as uncharacterized. The record is from RefSeq and is a predicted model, not a curated record. NCBI's taxonomy places the organism in Eukaryota, Viridiplantae, Streptophyta, Magnoliopsida, Myrtales, Myrtaceae. The transcript is spliced from 3 exons.